UGUUUCCUGUUAGUCGAUUCGCAAGUGUACCUUAUGCUAAACAUUAAAUCGGAAAGCAACAUAGUUUAGAAAUCCGAUUGAAUGUGACAUAGACUCUCUCAGUUUUAGUGACAGUGCCGUUAUAUAGCGUUGGAAGCUAAUACGUUGCUUUACGCGGCAGAUUAAAAGACGAUCGGGCUCAGAUAUGGGUGUGGAGGAUUAUCAUGCGAUCGAGCUCGUCGGUGAAGGCUCUUUCGGGAGAGUUUACAAAGGAAGACGAAAGUACACCGGCCAGACGGUGGCGAUGAAGUUCAUCAUGAAACAAGGAAAGAGUGACAAAGAUAUACACAGUCUAAGGCAAGAAAACGAGAUAUUGCGGAAGCUCAAGCAUGGGAAUAUUAUUGAAAUGCUCGAUUCCUUUUGAAACGCACGGGAGUU
Molecule: long non-coding RNA, 417 nt
Organism: Brassica oleracea var. oleracea
Lineage: Eukaryota; Viridiplantae; Streptophyta; Magnoliopsida; Brassicales; Brassicaceae
Exons: 3
Source: RefSeq, a predicted model, not a curated record